This 486-nucleotide ribosomal RNA is filed under the name uncultured bacterium. Its description in RNAcentral is "bacterial SSU rRNA". It matches the Rfam family "Bacterial small subunit ribosomal RNA", at positions 9 to 491 of the family's 1533-position model. The record is from RNAcentral.
GAGUUUGAUCUUGGCUCAGAUUGAACGCUGGCGGCAGGCCUAACACAUGCAAGUCGAGCGGUAGAGAGAAGCUUGCUUCUCUUGAGAGCGGCGGACGGGUGAGUAAUGCCUAGGAAUCUGCCUGGUAGUGGGGGGAUAACGCUCGGAAUCGGACGCUAAUACCGCAUACGUCCUACGGGAGAAAGCAGGGGACCUUCGGGCCUUGCGCUAUCAGAUGAGCCUAGGUCGGAUUAGCUAGUUGGUGAGGUAAUGGCUCACCAAGGCGACGAUCCGUAACUGGUCUGAGAGGAUGAUCAGUCACACUGGAACUGAGACACGGUCCAGACUCCUACGGGAGGCAGCAGUGGGGAAUAUUGGACAAUGGGCGAAAGCCUGAUCCAGCCAUGCCGCGUGUGUGAAGAAGGUCUUCGGAUUGGUAAAGCACUUUAAGUUGGGAGGAAGGGCAGUAAAUUAAUACUUGCUGUUUGACGUUACGACAGAAUAAGC